Molecule: ribosomal RNA, 253 nt
Filed under: uncultured bacterium
Lineage: Bacteria
Description: partial 16S ribosomal RNA
Rfam family: Bacterial small subunit ribosomal RNA
Source: RNAcentral
UACGAGGGGUGCAAGCGUUGCUCGGAAUUAUUGGGCGUAAAGGGUAGGUAGGUGGUCUCAUUUGUCUGGGGUGAAAGCCUUGAGCUUAACUCAAGAAGUGCCCCAGAAACGGUGAGACUCGAGUCUUGGAGAGGGUCGUGGAAUUCCCGGUGUAGCGGUGAAAUGCGUAGAGAUCGGGAGGAACACCAGUGGCGAAGGCGGCUACCUGGACCAGCACUGACACUGAGGCACGAAAGCGUGGGGAGCAAACAGG